UAUGCCCAUACCACCCUGAACGCACCUGAUCUCAUCUGAUCUCGGAAGCUAAGCAGGGUCGGACCUGGUUAGUACUUGGAUGGGAGAAUAU
RNAcentral lists this ribosomal RNA (91 nucleotides) under Microcebus murinus (gray mouse lemur). Lineage: Eukaryota; Metazoa; Chordata; Mammalia; Primates; Cheirogaleidae. The record is from RNAcentral.